GGCUACGUAGCUCAGUUGGUUAGAGCACAGCACUCAUAAUGCUGGGGUCGUAAGUUCGAAUCUCACCGUAGCCACCA
Molecule: transfer RNA, 77 nt
Filed under: Thiothrix sp.
Lineage: Bacteria; Pseudomonadati; Pseudomonadota; Gammaproteobacteria; Thiotrichales; Thiotrichaceae
Also listed under: 1 other name
Description: tRNA-Met
Rfam family: tRNA
About the family: Transfer RNA (tRNA) molecules are approximately 80 nucleotides in length. Their secondary structure includes four short double-helical elements and three loops (D, anti-codon, and T loops).
Source: RNAcentral